RNAcentral lists this small nuclear RNA (103 nucleotides) under Balaenoptera musculus (blue whale). The record is from RNAcentral. Lineage: Eukaryota; Metazoa; Chordata; Mammalia; Artiodactyla; Balaenopteridae.
UUGCUUUGGCAGCAGAUAUACUAAAAUUGGAACGACACAGAGAAGAUUAGCAUGGCCCCAGUGCAAGGAUGACAUGCAAAUUCGUGAAGCAUUCCAUAUGUAA